Molecule: long non-coding RNA, 383 nt
Filed under: Zonotrichia albicollis (white-throated sparrow)
Lineage: Eukaryota; Metazoa; Chordata; Aves; Passeriformes; Passerellidae
Description: lncRNA (ENSZALG00000005459.1)
Source: RNAcentral
GCCCGGCCGGCUGGCACCCGCAGCCCCGUGCCCGCCGUGGCGGGGCGAGGCGAGACGGUUUCGGUCAAUAGCGCCGUCAGGAUGUGGUUCUGUUUCCACGUCUCGAGCACACCUGGAGCCCUGUACUGCUGGCAAAUAGCAUCUAAGGAGCACGCUCCAAAACUGGUUUCUGUAUUUUGAAGAGAAGGUCAUUUUAGUUUCUUUCUGGAACCCUGGUUAAAUGCAUUGGCCCUGGACUGGUCAGAGGAAUUAAAACACUACUACUGAGACGUCAGAAAUGCAACCAAUGUGAAGCCCUUUUUCAGUUGUUUUUUGGAAACAUUUGUUGAAUUUCUCAUAUUGCUUCUGUCUGUUCAAUAAAAUAAUUGUCUCCAUAAUACCCA